AAAGAUAGAGGAGCGAAGAUUAUCAGUAACUGUUUUCAUGGAUUAAAGCGUCCACAGUGAAAGGAGUUUUCGCCGAAGCGUAUAAUUAGCUUUAUAAUUAUAUUUGCUGGGGGUGCGUAGAAUAUGCGUAUCACUGUCACAAGCGUAAUCUUGUGUUGGGCUAUCAU
This 167-nucleotide non-coding RNA is filed under the name Peptostreptococcus russellii. Its description in RNAcentral is "Lysine riboswitch". It matches the Rfam family "Lysine riboswitch aptamer". Rfam says of the family: Riboswitches are metabolite binding domains within certain messenger RNAs that serve as precision sensors for their corresponding targets. Allosteric rearrangement of mRNA structure is mediated by ligand binding, and this results in modulation of gene expression. The record is from RNAcentral. Lineage: Bacteria; Bacillati; Bacillota; Clostridia; Peptostreptococcales; Peptostreptococcaceae.